GAGCGCGAAAGGNACUUCGGUGCCGAUUAGAGCGGCGCACGGGUGAGUAACGCGUGGCCAACCUGCCCCCGGGACCGGGACAACCCUUUGAAAGGAGGGCUAAUACCGGAUGACACCCAGAUCACGGGAUCGGGGUUGAAAGCUCCGGCGCCCGGGGAGGGGGCCGCGUCCCAUCAGCUAGCCGGUGAGGUGAAGGCUCACCGGGGCGACGACGGGUAGCGGGUCUGAGAGGACGAUCCGCCACACUGGCACUGAGACACGGGCCAGACUCCUGCGGGAGGCAGCAGUGGGGAAUCUUGCGCAAUGGGGGGAACCCUGACGCAGCGAUGCCGCGUGGGUGAAGAAGGCCCUCGGGUCGUAAAGCCCUUUUGGCGGGGAGGAUGAUGACGUCACCCGCCGAAUAAGCUCCGGCUAACUACGUGCCAGCAGCCGCGGUAAUACGUAGGGAGCGAGCGUUGUCCGGAAUUACUGGGCGUAAAGGGCGCGCAGGUGGGUUUGCAAGCGGGGGGUGAAAGGCCGGGGCUCAACCCCGGGACUGCUCCCCGAACUGCAAGCCUUGAGGGGGUCAGGGGCCAGCGGAAUUCCGGGUGGAGAGGUGAAAUUCGUAGAGAUCCGGAGGAACGCCGGCGGCGAAAGCGGCUGGCUGGGGCCGCCCUGACACUGAGGCGCGAGAGCGUGGGGAGCAAACAGGAUUAGAUACCCUGGUAGUCCACGCCGUAAACGAUGGGUACCGGGUGUCCGGGGGGUCGACCCCCCUGGGCGCCGCAGCUAACGCGAUGANUACCCCGCCUGGGGAGUACGGCCGCA
This 807-nucleotide ribosomal RNA is filed under the name uncultured SAR324 cluster bacterium. Its description in RNAcentral is "SSU rRNA". It matches the Rfam family "Bacterial small subunit ribosomal RNA", at positions 64 to 890 of the family's 1533-position model. Lineage: Bacteria; Deltaproteobacteria. The record is from RNAcentral.